GUGGGUUACGGUAUUGUGUUUAUCAGUUGUAGUAUUUGUGCUUGCAAUUAUCAGAUGGAGAAAUAGAGGGUUAACUCAUGCUCAGAAGAAGCUAAACAAAAAUCCAAGAAAGAAACACAAGGUAUCUGGCUAUCUUUUCUCUUUAAACAUAUUAAACUACUAAUUGCAUAGCUGAUCUCUCUCUGUCUCUCUCCCUAUCUCACACACAGAGUUGCAGCACCAAAAAGCAGUGGUGCGUAGGAAGAGAUCAGGAAGCCAAUUGGUACCUAUGAUGGGGAAGCCUCGAGUAUUGAUGCAAUAAUCAGCC
RNAcentral lists this long non-coding RNA (307 nucleotides) under Coffea arabica (coffee). Its description in RNAcentral is "long non-coding RNA (CARA_LNC005067)". The record is from RNAcentral. Lineage: Eukaryota; Viridiplantae; Streptophyta; Magnoliopsida; Gentianales; Rubiaceae.